Non-coding RNA from Terrapene triunguis (Three-toed box turtle), 360 nucleotides. The record is from the annotation of a RefSeq genome assembly. NCBI's taxonomy places the organism in Eukaryota, Metazoa, Chordata, Testudines, Emydidae.
AUGAGACUUUGGAUCGCAAUUGUUUUCACUGUAGCAGCUUUGGAAGGUGUCCGGUGCCAGCUGCUAGUGGAGUCCGGAGGGGAUGUGAAAAAGCCCGGAGACUCUCUCCGCCUCUCCUGCAAAGCCUCCGGCUUCACCUUCAGCAGCUACUAUAUGAACUGGGUCCGACAGGCUCCUGGCCAGGGUCUGGAGUGGGUGGCUCGGAUUAGACCCGAUGCAUCCAAGCAGUGGUAUUCCCCAGCUGUUGAAGGCCGAUUCACCAUCUCCAGGGACAAUCCGAACAACCUGCUGUAUCUGCAAAUGACCGGCCUGAAGCCCGAGGACACCGCCCGGUAUUACUGUGCGAGAGACACACAAUGA